GACGAACGCUGGCGGCGUGCUUAACACAUGCGAGUCGAACGGAAAGGCCCCGCUUUUGUGGGGUGCUCGAGUGGCGAACGGGUGAGUAACACGUGAGUAACCUGCCCUUGACUUUGGGAUAACUUCAGGAAACUGGGGCUAAUACCGGAUAGGAGCUCCUGCUGCAUGGUGGGGGUUGGAAAGUUUCGGCGGUUGGGGAUGGACUCGCGGCUUAUCAGCUUGUUGGUGGGGUAGUGGCUUACCAAGGCUUUGACGGGUAGCCGGCCUGAGAGGGUGACCGGCCACAUUGGGACUGAGAUACGGCCCAGACUCCUACGGGAGGCAGCAGUGGGGAAUAUUGCACAAUGGGCGGAAGCCUGAUGCAGCAACGCCGCGUGCGGGAUGACGGCCUUCGGGUUGUAAACCGCUUUCGCCUGUGACGAAGCGUGAGUGACGGUAAUGGGUAAAGAAGCACCGGCUAACUACGUG
Molecule: ribosomal RNA, 468 nt
Filed under: uncultured bacterium
Lineage: Bacteria
Description: partial 16S ribosomal RNA
Rfam family: Bacterial small subunit ribosomal RNA
Source: RNAcentral